Gossypium raimondii (Peruvian cotton) is the source of this 122-nucleotide non-coding RNA. The record is from Rfam. NCBI's taxonomy places the organism in Eukaryota, Viridiplantae, Streptophyta, Magnoliopsida, Malvales, Malvaceae.
UGUUAAAUAUUUCAUCCAAUUCUACAGUUAGAAACUGGCAUAACUGACGAAAUAACUAUACAGUUUUAUGCUGAUAUACAUGGACCAGUUUUUAACAGUAAAAAUGGGUGGAAUUGUUAACA